Molecule: long non-coding RNA, 1435 nt
Filed under: Nicotiana benthamiana
Lineage: Eukaryota; Viridiplantae; Streptophyta; Magnoliopsida; Solanales; Solanaceae
Description: long non-coding RNA (NBEN_LNC017950)
Source: RNAcentral
AAAUUCAUUUCUAGGCUAUGGAAUUGUGUCUUUGAGCCGUUAUUGAUAAUAUUGAUCUAAAUUAUGCUUAGAUAUCAUUGUUUCGUAGUUGGAUUCUAGAGGAAAGGCGGUGUUAGAGAUUUGAUUGCUAUUUUCGGACCGAGGUAAGUGUUUGUUCUAACCUUGGCUUGAGGGAAUAGGAUUAGGAUAUUAUUUGUAAUGUGCUAAAUGUGGAGUACGGUGUAUAGGCAUGGUGACAGUUAUCUAUGCACCGGAGUCUAACAUGACCGUGAGGCUUAAUUGUGUUUGUAUUCAAAUUUUGUGGAACAUAUUCCUUGUUUAAAUGAUAAGUUCUAUGUAAUGUGGUUGGUUGAGGAAGAUUUACAAUUGGUACAUCAUUGGAGCGUGAGCUCGAACUAGAAUUCGCUAAUCGAGAAAGAAAUGAUUAUAAGAGGGAAAGUUGUAUUUAUUCCCUUGCCCAUGUGUAGUUAUUGGUUGUUUCCUUGCCGAGAUGUUCUUUUUUAUAUUGUUGGUUGAUAUUGUUCCCUUGCUGGGAUCUGUUUGCUUGAUGGUACCCCCUUGUCUGGACUUCUCUCACUAUAAGUUUAUUUCCUUGUCUUAUCUGUGACAACUGUUUGAGUGACAACUGUUUGAGUGAGGAAGAGUAAUAUUUGAGGAUCAGGUUGCACGCCGCAAUGGAUAGAUAUAUUUGAGGAUCGGGUUGCUCGCCGCAACGGAUAUAUUUGAGGAUCGGGUUGCUCGCCGCAACAGAUAUAUUUGAUGAUCGGGCUGCUCGCCGCAACGGAUAUAUUUGCGGAACGGGAUGCGCGCCGCAACAGAGUAUGAAUCAAGUAUAUUAUAUUUUUUGCAUGUAGGGAUUUCCUGCAUUUUUCCUUAUCAGUUGUUGUUGUACAGCUUUACUUCUUAUCCAACGAAUUCUAUAUUUAAACUGCCAUACCCACAGCAUGCUCCCCUCCCUAUUAGUUGUUUAAAUUCGUGUACUUCCUGUUAUUGCACAUAUAUCUGUACAAGUCAUUGUGGUAGGUCCUGUCUAGCCUCGUCACUACUUCACCAGGUUUAGGCCAGGCACUUAGCAGCAUAUGGGGCCGGUUGUGCUGAUACUACACUCUGUACAUCUUUUUGCACCGAUCCAGGAGGAGCUGUUGGACCUCAGUAGCAGUAUUUGCUCGUGCGCCGACUUCGGUCCAGGGAUUUCCGAGGUAGCUUAACUAGCGUCUGCGGGCCGGGGUCCCUUCUAUAUUAUUAGUUUGUUUCCCUUGUACCGAGACAGACUCUUCUAUGUAUUUCUUUCAGACUCUUGUUUUAGUAUUCCGUAGCAGUUCGUGAGUAGUGACGCCAUAUACUGGAUAGAAGUGUAUUUUGAAAUUUUUGUAUUUCCGCUUUAAGUUAUUUUAGCAUGUAAGUCUUCCGAUUUAAUUAUUAUUCUAGUUUAUUA